RNAcentral lists this long non-coding RNA (747 nucleotides) under Brassica napus (rape). Its description in RNAcentral is "long non-coding RNA (BNAP_LNC023147)". Lineage: Eukaryota; Viridiplantae; Streptophyta; Magnoliopsida; Brassicales; Brassicaceae. The record is from RNAcentral.
AGUGGGAUAGCAUCUUCAUCCUAACUCCUAUGAGAUUUAUUCAACUUCCUAGUGAUUCUACACUACUUUAUGUAUCACAAUCAAGCUUCUUACUUCGCGAUUCAUCCUGGUUUGAUAUGAAUGGCCAAGAAGGCGUCAUAUUCCCAAACAUGAAAAUUGGGAUCAUCUGAUUUGAAAGUGGGAUAGCUUCUUCAUCCUAACUCCUAUGAGAUUUAUUGAACUUCCUAGUGAAUCUCCACUACUUUAUGUAUCACGAUCAAGCUUCUUACAUCGCGAUUCAUCUUGGUUUGAUUAGAAUGACAAAGAAAUUGUCAUUUUCUCAAACAGGAAAACUCGUAUUACCUGAUUUGAAAGUGGGAUAUCUUCUUCAUCCUAACUCCUAUGAGAUUUAUUCAACUUCCUAGUGAAUCUCCACUACUUUAUGUAUCAAGAUCAGGCUUCUUACAUUGCGAUUCAUCCUCGUUUGAUUAGAAUGACAUAGAAGUUUUCAUAUUCCCAAACAUGAAAACUGGGAUCACAUGAUUUGAAAGUGGGAUAACUUCUUCAUCCUAACUCCUAUGAGAUUUAUUCAACUUCCUAGUGACUCUCCACUAAUUUAUGUAUCAAAAUCAAGCUUCUUACAUCGCGAUUCAUCUUGGUUUGAUUAGAAUGACAAAGAAAUUGUCAUUUUCUCAAACAGGAAAACUCGUAUUACCUGAUUUGAAAGUGGGAUAUCUUCUUCAUCCUAACUCCUAUGAGAUUUAUUCA